Molecule: long non-coding RNA, 5404 nt
Organism: Passer domesticus (house sparrow)
Lineage: Eukaryota; Metazoa; Chordata; Aves; Passeriformes; Passeridae
Exons: 5
Source: RefSeq, a predicted model, not a curated record
AAAUACAAUGAAGGAAAGUAAGAUCAUCCUGUUGGAAAGCAGUGUGAAAGGAAACAAGGAACCAUUUCCUCCUAAAACCACACAUUCACCAUACUGUUCAUUCCCAGUUGCUGAGAGUGUCAUAAUCAGUCACGUUACAAGGUGACACCAACUCCUACUGUUCCCUUGGGAACUCAUGCAAAAACUUGAUAGAAAAGAAACUGAAGGCAAAGGUAUUUGAAAAGUUGGAAGAGAGUUUUCAAAGAUACAUCUGCUUUUUGGUACUUCUUUUCUUAGCAGUACUUAUGCCAUGGACAACAGAAACCUAUGCAAGCAAAGUAAGGCUAUUUUACCAAUUAUUUCUGUAAGCAGUGACACAGAGUUGAGCAGGAAAUGCAGCGAGGACUGGCAGGCAGAAAAGCCAUCUUCCUGUGCAAUGAGAGUGCUGCCUGACACAAACACUUCAAGAACCCCAUGGCUGCAGAGAUUAAAAUGUCCCACAGACAGAAGGACACUGAAUAACAUAGGGUUUGGCAAAUUCACCUCCUGAACAUUGUUGGUUGCCAAGAAAAUUCAUUCUGACUCACAAGAAGCCAUAUGUAUUGUUCCACAAAAGGAUAUGAACAAGUGUAAUACUGAUGGCCCACAAAAGCAGUUAAAAAAAUACAGCAGCUUUAACAGAUUUCUAUCUGGUCUGAAGAAUAAUUCUGGUCUCCAGAGGAGACCUCCUUAGGCUCACUGAAUGGCACUUGUCCAAAAAGACCUGGCGGGUGGCCUGUCUGGGAAAAAGAGAGCAAAAGGACGGAAGCGGAGGUGACCUGGUAAUGUGUCAGCAAGGAGUGGCAGGCCUGAAAAAGAUUUUAUGAAGCCAAAAUGGGAUAGAGGCAUAUAAUCAAAACCUAUUUUCCUACAACAGUUCUGCCCUGCAGAGCCCAUUUUUGUGUUUUUGGUUUUUUUAGCCCUGUGUGACAGGAACCCUGAGGAAACACCACUUGACCUUCCUAGGACUGAUGCUUAGUAAUUGAUAGUGCUGUUUACACAAGUGUCAGAAUAUUUCAUUUAAAAUUUUGGACCCUUAAUUGUUAGAUUUAGUUCUAAACUACUUCACAGAAUGGUUGACUGAAGAUCUGCAUGUUUGUCGAAAAGAUUUACAAAGAUUUACACAGCGAACAAAUCCAAGCCAUAGUACUGUGGAUGUUCAGACUCUCAUCUGUUAGAAACACUUUUGGCUUUGCAUAUCUGUAAGAUCUAUCUUGGACAGCAGCAUGCUUCUCACAUUGUCAUUAGUCAAACUGCACAGCAUGUCUGGGCAGUAACUAAGGUUUAUAGUCCAUUAAAUGGAUAUGUCAGUAAGAAACUGAAAAAUUCUGACUCACCUAAAGCAACAAAAGAAGGUGAUAGCAAAUCAUUCAGAUCUACACAAUAACAUUUUUCUACUUUGUUUGAUGUUACUCUUUUAGGUUAACUAGCAGGACUCUUCAACUCUGUUUCUAAAAAUAAAUCUCUUCAUUCCAUACCUGUAACAUCUUCCCAUUCUACACUGACUAGGCUGGAAAUAACAGGCUUCCUGGUAUUAAAAAACCUAAGUUUCAAAAAAUUGUUUGCAUGUCACAAAUGUCCAUGUCUCCACUACUUUCAAGCUUUUAAAAAAAUUGUUAAAUCACAUCUAAUGAGGAUGUACCCCUGGCAUCUGGUAACUUAUUACUCCCUUAGGGUCUGCAUUCUAGUUUUUUAUAUAUCUGUCUCAAAGGACUCAAGCAUGCUAACAGUAACUGACAAGACACACCAUAAACAGCCCAGAUCCACCAAAAAAAGCAGAAAUAAAGGAGGUCUCAACAUCCCUUCAAAAGCUGAAACUGAGAAAAUGUUUAAGAGCCCUUUUUUCUUACUGGCAUAGGCACCAAGGCAGGAUUGCCCAGAUUUGGAGCCCAGAAACACUGCUGUUCUCUGUGCUUCAUGAAAUCUGCUGUAAAAUAAUGUGGAUGACUCAUACACAAAUGUAUGCAGAAGAAAGCACCGUUCUUCUAUGCUAAGUACAUUUACUGAGAGCAACAUAUCAUUGACUACAAGAUGGACAGUUACAAGAUCUCUUAAACAGGCAUUCAGAGAAUUGAUAAAAGCGUUAAACAACUUGAGUGGCAAACACGGAUCACCUUCAAUUGCCUAACUUCUUGUUUUAAGUGCCAUUUCAUGCUUCAUGUCCCAGCAACAUAAAGAUAUGAGAACUAAUUGAGAUGCUAUCAGACUUCUGCAUUUUUCCAGUUCAACACUAUCUGUUCUUUUCAUGUACAGGUUGGAAGUCUGAUUUCAGCACUGGCCUCCAGGCAAAACCAAGAGAUAAUAAACUUUGUUGCAACUUCCCUGUGAAGCACCUGGAUGCUAUCAGUGAUCAUUAUCUCACUGCCUUGUCCAUUUGAUGGCUCUUCAUUGCUUGAAGAGGGCUAGGAGUUACAUCUAAUGGUGUUUCAUAUAUGUACCUGGAAAAAGCUUUGGAAGUAGUAAUAAGAAGCUAAAGUGCUGUGCCCUAAGAAGAUAAACCACAAAGAUUUCAGGUUCUAACUAAGAAAGAAAAAGUAAAUAAAGUAGUGGGUGAAAGGAAGUACUGGUGACCUGAUUUGACAGCUGAGAAUUGGUUUGAGAAGACAUUAAGUUUCAAGAAGUACACACACAUGGCAAGACCUUCAGAGGUACUGGGUAUUAUUAGCUCCAGCCACAGCUCUACAAAUGUGAGUCUGACUGCCUUGACACCUUGCAAGUGGUCAGUAGGACAGCCUGUCUGCCUCUGCACAGCAGGCUCUGCUAUCUCUGUGCCACACACCCAGGAGUUCUGUUUCCCAGGGUGGCACCAGCAGACUUGCCUUAUAUUUAGCUACUACCAGUCUCAUGAUGUUUCAGAAUGUCCUCAGGUAAACUUACUAACUCCUCUGUCAAACCCAUGAGUCAAGCCAGACAGCUUCUGCUGUCUCACACAUUUAACAAGAAGGCCAGUCCUCAACAGUUUUUCUUUCUGGUUAGAAAAGCCUGUGCAUUGAAUGAAAGAAGGACACCCACCUUACCACAUCUGCUUGUUUGAGCUUUUCUCAACCAAACAGCCAAUAAAUCUCCAAUAAGCAAGAGAAAAAAACAAAUACUCUCCAAAGAGCUGCAAUACUCUACACUGCAAAGAGAGAGCAGAUUAUAAGGCUUCUGCUUUAGUGAGACACAAGGCAGAUAGCCAAAAAGUCAGAACUACCUUCUCUUUGCUGGGGUGCUUUCCACAGACAGCCAGAGAUGGAAGAAGAGCUACAAUCUCAACAGGUUGUCAAGAUGUUUCAGGAAAGAAGGUGGGAAUUCUGUCUAGUUUCCAUUAUGUUGCCAUUUUCUUGUCUCCCACAACCCUGUAAUCUCAGUUCUCAACACAGAGAUACAGCUAAAGAUAGUGAAUAACUUAUAUUAAAAGUCCUGGCUGGAUGCUGCCACUAUCAAAUAUCAGCUUGGCCAAACAAACCAAGAAUGUGGCCAUCUGAGAGAGAUCUGCUAAAAGGCAGCUGCACCUUGGGAAGAGCUGCAUUCAGUAGGAAACAAACCCAUUGAAGAGCAGGUGUAAAAGAGUAAGAUACAACGUAGAAAUAGAAUUUCCUCUCUCUUGGCUGUGAAUCCCAGCUCCUUUGUUGUUUCCCAGCCAUACCUUGUCUGUUUGCAGGAUCUUUCCAUAGGAAUGAGAAUGACAUGGGUGCUCCUGAAAGGCAGAGUACAUGAGAUACAAUAAACUGGAGAAAUGUAUUGAAGCGUCUGUAGAGCAAGAAAGGAUAAGACCAUUUCCCUUUUUGAUGGGUAAUCUCACUAGCUGUGGGAGAGGCAGACCCAUGUCUCUCCACACUCUCUUUAGGGGGCUGUCUGGUGUGUUUAUAUUCAAAACUGCACAAGUGGGUUUCUGCAAACCUCUGUCCUUUUUCAUGUAUGCAACACCAAACCCUGCUUCCAUCACAGCCCUCUACACUUUCCUCUGUUCCUGCUCUCAGGACACCUCCAGAUUCCCAAACCUCUUCAGCCCCCACACAGAGCCUUUGAGUAGUCCUUCCUGGGAGCUCACCUGGCUUUUUGUUAACUCCUCUCACCUGGGUGCAGGGCAUGUCUGCAUUAGUAUGUACUCAUUAUCUUAUUGCUUGCUUGCCUGUUUUGCUCAUAAUUUUCAAAAUGGUUUCUGAAAGAUCUGGCAUCUCUAUUCCCUGUCUACCUUAAUGUGGACUUUGACUUGUGAUGCUCAGACUCCCUCAUAAGACCAGGCAUGCUUUCACAUUUCCAUUCUGCACACAGGGAGGGGGUGUUAGGAGACAUCUGCACUACAGUGUACACGAGUACCCUGAGGAGGAGCAACUCCCUGGCUUUCCUUCAUGUGUUAAUAGGGCUACUAAAACUGUAAAAGGGAAAAAGCUCAACAGGAAAGGCAGACGUGACCAGUUCCUUCCUCAAACAGUCUCACGGACUUUGGUUCUGCCACUCUGAGCCACAAAAGGCAAUGGGGAAGGGAAUUCAGGAGAAGUAAAGUGGGGCAAUGAGCUGCACAAUACAAGCACAACUUACGUGUUGCAGAACAAGACACAGGCCCAGUCAAGUCAGAGCAUCACUCAGGCCUAUGAACAACAACUGGGUGUUGCCGAAGUCCAAGAGCAGCUGCAGGCAAGUCUGUAGUGGUCACAGAAUGGCAAUUCAAAUUUCUUAAUGGCAAAGGAGGUGGGAUUGAGUUAAUCAGUCUGUGAAAUGUGAGAAAAAAGUCAAGUAUGCAGGACACUCAGAAAAAGAGUACACAGCUGGUAUAUAAUUGAAAAAGUCUCUACAGUAGUGCAGCAGUCAUUAAAAAAAUUAAUACGGUGUCUUGGGAUAAGUGAAAAUAUGGAUCUUAGCCAGGAAAGAAAAACAUACUUUAACCAUUUGCCAAAUACUUGUGGACUGUACUUUAAGACUUAGGUGAAGACACCACUGGAUACCUUUGGACAAACUGAUCUCUCAGGUAGUGCUAAUAACAAAAUAAGAUAUUUCAGGAGAAUGUCUACAUCAUCUCUACUGAUGUUGACAUUCCCUUGCAAACUCCUAAGAGGCAUACAGAGAGAAUGACAUUAUUUUCCCCAAGAAAUGUAUUUGGCUUUUUUAACUCUGGCUGUACAGGAGCUAGCUCACUACCAACCACUUGCACAUGCAGAGUUCUCUUUCUCUGAAUUGUCUAUUAAAGGAUUUCUAAAUUAUAGAUUUUAUCAUUUACUAUUACAGGGCUUUCCAAAGCCAUAUUCUUAAUUGGCCAUUAUCUUACAGCUAUGGGACAACUGGUGUGUAUUCAUGAAUUACUUGGUACAGCCAAGUGCCCUCUAGCUUGCUAGCAUCUUGCCUCAGGAAUCUUGAAUCAGAAUACCUGAUUUCAAUCUUGUUUCCUCGUUUAAAAGGACACAAA